GCGAGAGUGGCGUAAUCGGUAGCCGCAAGAGACUUAAAAUCUCUCGUCCUAUGGGCGUACGGGUUCGAUUCCCGUCUCUCGCA
This 83-nucleotide transfer RNA is filed under the name Polaromonas sp. CG9_12. It matches the Rfam family "tRNA". From Rfam's summary of the family: Transfer RNA (tRNA) molecules are approximately 80 nucleotides in length. Lineage: Bacteria; Pseudomonadati; Pseudomonadota; Betaproteobacteria; Burkholderiales; Comamonadaceae. The record is from Rfam by way of RNAcentral.